UGACGUCUGGCAAAACUCAGGAAAUAUCUUGCAAGUUUUUCAAAUAUCUUGCAAGCAGCGUUUUUAUGACCGUUUUUUUACUUUUUUUUGCGCACAAGUCCAAGGGCCUACCUACACACACUCGUUGUAAACCAUUUAGUUUUAUUUUCGGUGGUUCCCUGUUCAAUUAGACGAUAUUUUCGUUUCGUAAAACCCAAGACGGCGGACGACACUGAAGAAGCUCAAUAGCGAGGAAGUCACUAUUCGCACAUGACCUUACGCCGAAUUCCAAACUCCAGGAAAGUAUUUAGGCUAUUUCUGCAGUUGUCAUGUGCACAUGGAAUUUUACAGGCAAGAAAUGCAGUAUGUAUAGGUCCUUCUUCGUCUGUGAAAAUUCGUAACAUUUUUGCUCGCCGAUUUAGUCCGCCAUCUUGGAUCUGUAAUCUGCCAGUCGUUAUUUUUUUUCCGUCCUCGCGUCAGGAUUCCUGUGGAUGUCACGCAAAUCAGAUAACGACUGGGUACGAGUCUGCCCCCGCCCCCGAAUGGUCUUUUAUGCGAGCACUUGCGAGCACUCCGUUUUUUAUGCGAGACCGAGCAUUUUUUGGCGGAAAAAAUUGCACAAGGAUGCGAGCACGGCGGAAAAAUUGCGCACAGCGGAAAAAAAUGAACGAGCAUGCGAGCACGGCGAAAAAAAUUGCGCGGGCAUUAGCCGAAAAUAUAUAUAAGACUUAUUUUUUAUGUCCGUCCAUUCGUCUGUCUGUCUGUAAUUAAGUAAACAUCCGAAACACACCUAUUUCAUCAGACUAGUGCAAUUAAAGCUGAAAUCGUUGAUCCAAUGCGCAUGCCAGCUUAUCUAAGAUCUAUGAAAUGUCAUGACAUUUUAGAUCCGUGUAUCGAGCACGGGCGUAGGCCCAGGAUUGGCCGGAGGGGGGUGGGGGGGGGGGGGAGGUGCGCAGUCAUAGGUAUCACAUGGAAAAAGCAUAGUAUAAGAAAAUUCCUUAAUAGGAAACGACCCACUUUUUGCCCGCCAAGGGGGGAUUUUGUAACAAUGGUCUACACUGCUGUCUACAUACAGUGUUGAGUAUAGACUUUUUCGUUCAAAUUUGGAACAGGACCAAUGAUAUUCGGUAACUGUUGACGGUGAGCGACUAGCCAAAAAUCCCCCCACACACACACACACACAAAUAAAAUAAAAGAAAGAAAAAAAAAACACGCAUCACAACUCAAUGCCAAACUUUUUAUUUCUUCAAUAUUAAUUCUUAGCUUUUGAGAUAAUACAAAAAGCAAAGAAAUUCUUGAUAUUUCUCGUUUUUUCUAUCGCCACAGAGGCGGUAAUUGCCAGGUCGAAAUCGUGUUAUUUCUUGUACGGGGCAAGACAUUCAAGUCAAAAUUUAUGCAGUCAUAAUGUAUAUCUGCUUUUUUAGGUGCUCCAUUUUGGCCCCCUCUGCCUCCGCACGUUCCACGGCGGCGUUGCCAUGCCUGAUAAUAAUCUGGAAACUGUCGCAAUUAGGGCAGGUGUCCACGUGAGGCUUACGGAACGAGAGGCUAAACGUUUUGAAUAUUCUCCUAUAAGAAGUAAAACUCACGGACCGAUGUCGACCCUUCCAAUGCCUUUCUUGGCUAAGAAAUCCCGCCAUAAUUGUUAGAUGACAAGUAUUGCUUCUCCUUUGUAAAUGCGCGAGCGUAAUGGGACUGUGAACGGUCAUAGCUUCUGAAAUGCUCAACGACCUGGAAAAGUGAAAAAAAAAGAAACACACACAAUCA
Nematostella vectensis (starlet sea anemone) is the source of this 1743-nucleotide long non-coding RNA. RefSeq lists it as uncharacterized. The transcript is spliced from 2 exons. NCBI's taxonomy places the organism in Eukaryota, Metazoa, Cnidaria, Anthozoa, Actiniaria, Edwardsiidae. The record is from RefSeq and is a predicted model, not a curated record.